This 569-nucleotide ribosomal RNA is filed under the name uncultured bacterium. RNAcentral's name for it is "bacterial SSU rRNA". It matches the Rfam family "Bacterial small subunit ribosomal RNA", at positions 38 to 611 of the family's 1533-position model. The record is from RNAcentral.
GGCGGCGUGCUUACACAUGCAAGUCGAGUGCGCGGUUGUAGCAAUACAACUGGCGCACGGCGCACGGGUGCGUAACACGUGGGCAAUCUGCCCUCCGAUGGGGAAUAACUCCGGGAAACCGAAGCUAAUUCCGCAUAACAUUCCCUGGACUCCGGUUUGGGGAAUCAAAGCAGUGAUGCGUCGGAGGAGGAGCCCGCGCCCGAUUAGCUAGUUGGCAGGGUAACGGCCUACCAAGGCAAUGAUCGGUAGCUGGUCUGAGAGGAUGGCCAGCCACACUGGAACUGAGACACGGUCCAGACUCCUACGGGAGGCAGCAGUGGGGAAUCUUGCGCAAUGGGCGAAAGCCCGACGCAGCGACGCCGCGUGGGGGAUGAAGCUUCUCGGAGUGUAAACCCCUUUCGACUGGGACGAAUGCCCGCAAGGGAGUGACGGUACCAGUAGAAGAAGCCCCGGCUAACUACGUGCCAGCAGCCGCGGUAAGACGUAGGGGGCCAGCGUUGUUCGGAAUUACUGGGUGUAAAGGGUUCGUANGCGGUGUGGCAAGUCGGGAGUGAAAUUUCUGGGGCUUA